UCAGAGGCGAUGAAAGACGUGAUAGCCUGCGAAAAGCUCCGGGGAGGCGGCAAAUAUCCUUUGAUCCGGAGAUGUCUGAAUGGGGGAACCCACCUACUUUAAGGUAGGUAUUGCAACAUGAAUACAUAGUGUUGCAAGGCGAACGAGGGGAAGUGAAACAUCUCAGUACCCUUAGGAAAAGAAAUCAAUUGAGAUUCCCUCAGUAGCGGCGAGCGAACGGGGAUCAGCCCAUUAAGUUAUGUGUGUUUUAGUGGAACGCUCUGGGAAGUGCGAACGUAGAGGGUGAUAUUCCCGUACACGAAAGGGCACACAUAAUGAUGACGAGUAGGGCGAGGCACGUGAAACCUUGUCUGAAUAUGGGGGGACCAUCCUCCAAGGCUAAAUACUCCUGACUGACCGAUAGUGAACCAGUACCGUGAGGGAAAGGCGAAAAGAACCCCUGUGAGGGGAGUGAAAUAGAUCCUGAAACCGCAUGCAUACAAGCAGUGGGAGCACCUUCGUGGUGUGACUGCGUACCUUUUGUAUAAUGGGU
RNAcentral lists this ribosomal RNA (532 nucleotides) under Acinetobacter baumannii. RNAcentral's name for it is "partial 23S ribosomal RNA". It matches the Rfam family "Bacterial large subunit ribosomal RNA", at positions 40 to 620 of the family's 2925-position model. The record is from RNAcentral. Lineage: Bacteria; Pseudomonadati; Pseudomonadota; Gammaproteobacteria; Moraxellales; Moraxellaceae.